This 882-nucleotide ribosomal RNA is filed under the name uncultured Candidatus Saccharibacteria bacterium. RNAcentral's name for it is "bacterial SSU rRNA". It matches the Rfam family "Bacterial small subunit ribosomal RNA", at positions 571 to 1482 of the family's 1533-position model. Lineage: Bacteria; Candidatus Saccharimonadota. The record is from RNAcentral.
GUAGGCGGACAAGUAAGCGAAUAGUAAAAUCUGGUGGCUCAACCAUCAACCUAUUGUUCGAACUGCUGGUCUCGAGAAUGGUAGAGGUAGCUGGAAUUUCUUGUGUAGGAGUGAAAUCCGUAGAUAUAAGAAGGAACACCAAUGGCGUAGGCAGGCUACUGGACCAUUUCUGACGCUGAGGCACGAAAGCGUGGGGAGCGAACCGGAUUAGAUACCCGGGUAGUCCACGCCGUAAACUAUGGAUACUAGCUGUGGGGGGUAUCGACCCCCUCCGUAGCGAAGCUAACGCGUUAAGUAUCCCGCCUGUGGAGUACGGCCGCAAGGCUAAAACAUAAAGGAAUUGACGGGGACCCGCACAAGCGGUGGAGCGUGUUCUUUAAUUCGAUGCUAAACGAAGAACCUUACCAGGGCUUGACAUCCCUUGAAUUUCUGCGAAAGCAGAAAGUGCUUUAUUGAACAAGGUGACAGGUGCUGCAUGGCCGUCGUCAGCUCGUGUCGUGAGAUGUUUGGUUAAGUCCAUCAACGAGCGCAACCCUUGUGAUUAGUUGAAUUUUUCUAAUCAUACUGCUCCGGCAACGGGGAGGAAGGAGGGGAUGAUGUCAGGUCAGUAUUGCCCUUACGCCCUGGGCUAGAAACGCGCUACAAUGGCCGGUACAACGCGAAGCCAACCCGCAAGGGGGAGCAAAUCGCAUCAAAGCCGGUCCCAGUUCGGAUUGCAGGCUGAAACUCGCCUGCAUGAAGUCGGAAUCGCUAGUAAUCGCAAGUCAGCAAAUUGCGGUGAAUACGUUCCCGGGUCUUGUACACACCGCCCGUCAAACCAUGAAAGUGACCAACACCCGAAGUCCGAUUCGUCGGCCUAAGGUGGGGGGCAUGAUUGGGGUU